This 253-nucleotide ribosomal RNA is filed under the name uncultured bacterium. RNAcentral's name for it is "partial 16S ribosomal RNA". It matches the Rfam family "Bacterial small subunit ribosomal RNA", at positions 524 to 776 of the family's 1533-position model. The record is from RNAcentral.
UACGUAGGUGGCUAGCGUUGUUCGGAUUUAUUGGGCUUAAAGCGCGCGUAGGCGGUCCAUUAAGUCAGUUGUGAAAUACGGCAGCUUAACUCUCGAGGUGCAAUUGAUACUGGAGGACUUGAGUACAGACGAGGUAGGCGGAAUUGACGGUGUAGCGGUGAAAUGCAUAGAUAUCGUCAAGAACACCGAUAGCGAAGGCAGCUUACUAGACUGUAACUGACGCUGAGGCGCGAAAGUGUGGGGAUCAAACAGG